This 170-nucleotide ribosomal RNA is filed under the name Histrio histrio (sargassumfish). RNAcentral describes it as "partial 12S rRNA". The record is from RNAcentral. Lineage: Eukaryota; Metazoa; Chordata; Actinopteri; Lophiiformes; Antennariidae.
CACCGCGGUUAUACAAGUGAGCCCAAGCUGAUAAAGAUCGGCGUAAAGGGUGGUUAAGAAUACUGUUCAGUAAAGCCGAGAAUCCCAGCAGCUGUUCAAUGCUUGCAAGGUAUAAAAAGCCCAAACACGAAAGUAGCUUUACAAUUUCUGACCCCACGAAAACUAGGACA